Nycticebus coucang (slow loris) is the source of this 106-nucleotide small nuclear RNA. The record is from RefSeq and is a predicted model, not a curated record. NCBI's taxonomy places the organism in Eukaryota, Metazoa, Chordata, Mammalia, Primates, Lorisidae.
GGGCUCUCUUCCGCGCACAUAUACCAAAAGUGGAAUACUACAGAGAAGAUUAGCCUGGCCCCUGUGAAAGGAUGACGCGCAAAUUCAUGAAGCUUUCCGUGUAAUU